Molecule: ribosomal RNA, 448 nt
Filed under: uncultured bacterium
Lineage: Bacteria
Description: bacterial SSU rRNA
Rfam family: Bacterial small subunit ribosomal RNA
Source: RNAcentral
GAUGAACGCUGGCGGCGUGCUUAACACAUGCAAGUCGAACGGGAAAUACUUUAUUGAAACUUCGGUGGAUUUAAUUUAUUUCUAGUGGCGGACGGGUGAGUAACGCGUGGGUAACCUGCCUUAUACUGGGGGAUAACAGCCAGAAAUGACUGCUAAUACCGCAUAAGCGCACAGAACCGCAUGGUUCGGUGUGAAAAACUCCGGUGGUAUAAGAUGGACCCGCGUUGGAUUAGCUGGUUGGCAGGGCAGCGGCCUACCAAGGCGACGAUCCAUAGCCGGCCUGAGAGGGUGAACGGCCACAUUGGGACUGAGACACGGCCCAGACUCCUACGGGAGGCAGCAGUGGGGAAUAUUGCACAAUGGGGGAAACCCUGAUGCAGCGACGCCGCGUGAAGGAAGAAGUAUCUCGGUAUGUAAACUUCUAUCAGCAGGGAAGAUAAUGACGGUA